Molecule: long non-coding RNA, 718 nt
Organism: Hevea brasiliensis (rubber tree)
Lineage: Eukaryota; Viridiplantae; Streptophyta; Magnoliopsida; Malpighiales; Euphorbiaceae
Exons: 2
Source: RefSeq, a predicted model, not a curated record
GUACUGUACUGGUACACCAGCUCAAUAUUUACUUUUGGAUUGUUGUUGAAUGGGAUCCUAGCCAUUUGCUAGCUGAAAAUGGACUGCAUUACUCGUUAAAUGAUUGAUAAAACUUCCUCUUUAAAUGACUAUAAAACAUCCUGUCAUAUAUUGGGAGUGUUAUUACUGCUAUUCAUUGCUUGCAUUUCUAUGCAUCAGUAGUCAAAGAUCAGACUAAUUCAGGGCAUUUUUAACUAUUAAUUAUUAAUUUUAUGUAUGGAAGCUGAUGAGUGAUACCAUGAUUGAUGUACUUGUAGGUAACUCUGCCAACCAAGCAAUAGAAUUACUCAUACAGAAAGGAGUUCCAGAAUCCCGGAUUAUAUUCCUAAACCUAAUUUCUGCUCCUGAGGGUAUCGAUUGUGUUUGCAAAAGAUUCCCAUCCUUGAAAAUUGUCACUUCAGAGAUCGAUGUUGCGUUAAAUGAAGAAUUCCAAGUCAUACCAGGUAUGGGUGAGUUCGGCGAUCGAUACUUCGGCACUGAUGAAUAACCAGCAAUAAGGUAAGCAUAGAUAAUGACCAAUUAAUUAAUGUGGAACUGUAUUGGAAAACCCUAUUGUCUAAGAAAAAUGAAGAGGGGAUAAGUUGUUCUCUGAUUUAUCUUAUUUAUGGGGUCAUCUUUUUCAAUUACUAUUAAUGACUCAUGAUGAAGAUACAAGCAUAAUGAGAUGGUUUCCAAAUUA